GCGCCUCCCCGAGCUGAGCCGCGCGUCCCGAGCCCAGCCUCUCCGGGGAGGAGGGACCCGGCGGCGCGGCGUGGGUCGGGAGCGGGCGCCUGGGACUACUUCUCGUUUGAAAGUUUUCAGAGGCCAAAAGUUUGAGCCGGGGCUGCGGAAGGAUCCGGCUCUGGCGGUUGCCGCGCUCGGCGACAACUGGCGACUGAAAUUUGCAUGUGAAUAAGCGGAGGAGCCCGGGGCGGAAUGGGGAGGGCGAGGCCGCGGACAGCCGUGUGCACCGUGCGCUGGGCCGGGCGGGGAGCAGCUGAGGCCACGUUGGGGGACCCCGGGCCCGGGGCAGGGCUCUGGGAGAGUGGCCUAGCCGUGUGUGCGCCCCUAGCCCAGCGGCUUCACUCCCUCCCGAGGGCCCCGUGGCCGCGGCUUUAGGCGUCCAGAGGAUCGAUCGCCGCCAGACAUCCCUGGCCGUGAUUGCCCGAGCACUUGACCGCGAGGGAUGGGGGCGCCGCGGCCUCUGGGCAGGGGACUCCGGGCGCCCCGAGGGAGCAGCCGGGACCAGUGCCUCGCGGACGGAUUGUGCCCCGCUCCCCCAAGGGGGACCCGCGUCGACACGCUCCUCGGUCACCGUCCUCCUCCUGCCCGGGCGCCGCCUGCCUAAGGUGGCCCCAGAAAGCACAAACGGGUCGGGCGGAUCUGCCGCUGGCGCCGGCGCAGCCCUUCCCACGUGCUCCUUCCGGCUGAUUUAUUUCUCCACCACGAUGCCAGGCACGGGCACCCUGUGCCAAGCCUGGUUAAGCGCCAGGAGUCCAAAAUGCCUGCCAUAGUCCCUGCGCAAAGUUCACGGCCUCGUGCCAGGGACAGACAGCGCCCCCUCCCCACCCCAACACAGGGUGGUGAGUGCGAUGGCAGAAGGCGCGUGUCCCGGCGCCCCUCCUGGAGUAGGAGGGCUAAGCCUGCCCUGCGGGGAGACCGAAAGGCUGGGAGGGACCUAGGACUGUGGGGGCCUGGGGGGAGGGCUGCAGAAACCCCAGAGCAUGGUGGCAGAGGCAGGCACAGAAAGCAGGACAAAUCUCACACCUGACCCCAGCAAGCCUUUCCUGGCACACCUCUUGCCAAAUGCUGAGCACUCUGGAAACAGCCAGUGCAGGCGGCCUGUCCCGCCCCUGUAGCUGCUGCUGGGAGCCUCCCUCGCCUGCGUCCUCCCAGAAUCUGGCCUCACUUCUGCAGGCCUGGGGUAACAUCUUGGGGUCAGCGCCCCAGGAGAGGAGGCGCCUGGAGGCAGCAGAGAUGUUUAUGUAACAGCAGCCAGGCAGCCUGGAGGAGCAGAUUUUCCAUAGAAGGAAGCGCGGGGCUGUGCAGCUCCCAGGCUGAGGACUCUGCCCACCACGACGUCCUCUGCUCCUGCAGAGAAGAGAGUGGCCCAUUCGGUGUCCACCCGUCAGGCCACCCAGCAGCCAGGCACGCUCAUAAGCCCGCGUUACGGAUGGUGCGGCCGGGUGCACAGGCCCGAGGGAAGCACAGGCCUCGGCCUCCCAGCUCCCAACCCCUGCACCACCCACAGCCGGGAGUACCCCAUGGACAGCUGUGGCCGAGGAGAAGCCAGGGAUGAGGGGGAUGGGCCUCACCUCCCCACCAGCCUGGGAAGGGGGUAGGCCCCUGGCAAGUAGGUGAGAAGCUUUUUCAUUCACAAGUUGUCCGGGCUCCCCAUUCCUCUUUGUCAGGCCAGCGGGUGUGGGCAGUCGGGGGAGGCUGGGGUCCUGACACAACAGGAGUACAUCUGCUGGCCUAGGGCCUGGAGACCUUCUCCUACAGGUCGGGAGGCAGCCCUGGGCAGCGGGCAUUGCGGGGACUAAAGAGAAACAAGAGCAGGUUGUGUGCAGGGCACCCCAGCCACUCCAGAAACCCAAUGGGAGGGUGGGGGCUAGGACCCCAAGAAGCUGAAUUGGGGUGCAGUGCCGCCAGGCCUCCCCUGUAGGAGUCACUUUGGGCUUCCUGUCCCAACUUGUGGUGGGAGCUGGGGCAAGGUUCCAGGGGUACCCCGAAUGAAUGGGGCUGUUCCCAAGCUGGCCAGGGAGCCUGGAAGCAGAUGAGAUGGGGCCGCAGAGCCUGGUUUGCGGAGGGGAGAGGCAGACGUGUCCUGCAGCCCUCUCUUCUUCAGAGGCCCCCUGCGGGUGCUGAGGGGAGAGUGGCUUAGGCGUUGCACCCCAGGAGACUGAACUGGGUCAGUUCCCCCUUGUUUGCUGCCAGAGAAAUGGGGGUACCAUUGUCAGGGUGAGCUAAGGAGGCCCUGCUGACAUUGGCCCAACCAGGCCCCUCCUUUGCGGCUGCUGUGGGGACUUUCGAGAGCAGAGCACACCCCUAAGUGCGUGGAGAGGAGGGAAGCUGAGGCUCAGAGACAUCAUGAGGAUGCCAGCUCAAGGCCCAGCCAGGCCUUGGUCCUCAGCUGCUGUCAUCCAGUAGGGUAAGUGGGACCCCCAGGAGGUGUUGGGGGACACUCCUCCCCUCCCCCACACUCACAGUCUGUUCACCGCCCAAGGCAGCAGGCUGGACUCGGUGCAGGGACCAUGGCUUGGCGUGGCCAGGUUGGAGUGGCCCCUGGGACUGAAAGCAGGGGGCGUGGGGGCUCUGAGGCGGGGCCGAGUGCGGGGACGUCCUGUGGCGGGUACCCUGCUGGGUCCUGGGUGGGGGCCACCACCAGGCAGCUGUGGGAACAUUCCAGACCACCUAGGAGUAGGGCCCCUUCACCGUUUGAAGCUGACUGUAAAAAACAUCUGACCUGUGUGCAAAGCUCAAGCCCAGAGGCCUCCAGGGUGUCCAGCCUCCAGGGUGCCUCCUACGCAGCCUCCACGUCCCCAUCCACUGCAGCCCCUGACCAUCGGGCACACCGUGGGGCCUUCGCUGGCCGCCGGGCCUCAGGUUCUGCUGCACCAAGUGAUUUUUAAAGCCCCAUCUGCCUUUCUCCACUUAUAAAGAACUUGGGACAUUUCCUCGAGGUUGGGCAUUUUUCCAGAUGUGGUUUCAGUGUCUCGCUUGCUACCUGGUCCCCUGUGCUGGGCGGUCCGCUGUGACGCACCUGGCAGUCCUUGCUCUAGGAUGGAUUCGGGCCGGCCCUUGUUCUGAGAACAGAGAACGGCCCUUGUUCUGAGGAGGCUGGGGUCUGGAAUCUGCUUCCUGGUCCCCUGCUGUGUGCAGACAGCCACCGUCACCCAGGCCCAGGGGUGCCUGCAGGUGCUGGGCAUCUCACCCUGGCCCCCACAGGGGCUCCCCAUGCCCUGCACCCCUCGGUCUGUGCCGGGGACUUCCCUGCUCUGCUGUUGCAGGCCUCGUCCUUUGCCGAGGGGGUCUCUUUCCCACGUGUCCCUGAGACUCCUCAGCCAUCCCAGAGGCUCUCGGCCGUCUGAGCACCCCUGACCAUGAAGCCUUCCUGGCCCACUCUCUGUGUGUGAGGCAGAGCCCAUCCCUACCAUUCCGACCCACACCAGAGGCUCCGGAAGGUUUGCUGACUGACCUGUGACUGCAAGAAGCUGAAGGAAUGUGGGCGCAGACCCGGCAGGGGCUUUUCUUGGUGCAAAGUCAACUGGCUGUCCAUGCAAGCCUGCUGCUGUGGCCAGCCCUCCCGCCAGGCGCCUGGGAGUCCCAGGGAGACGGCAGAGGCAGUGCCUGGCUGGGGCCCUGGUUGGCGUGCCGUUUGAGGGGUGCAUGCACUGGGAAGUUGGCCAGGCCUGCCCAAAUCAGGGGGCUUCCAGGAGGAGAGACAUCAGGAGGAUGGGCACAGAGGCGGCUUAGCACCAGGGCUGGCACCUCCAGGUAGGGGCUGUGGGGUUAGAGGGACAAUGUUGGUGUCCCAAAGCACAGUCCUUUGCCCCGGAGGAGCCACCGGCAGAGCCAGGAGCCCCUGAAGGACUUUGACCACACCCCCCACCCCACCCCGACCUGUGCCUGGUGCCCCAAGUGGAGCCUGGGCCAUCCUUGACCUCACCGCUGGGGUGAUGGAGAAGCAGCCGCCCGAGGCGAGAGUUUCUCAGGUGGCCGGGGUUUCCCCCCAUUUGCUCCAGACACAUUUAAACAAGCUGAGAACUUCCGUCCCCCCAUACUCCCCCCCGCGGACCCCCACGGACCCCCUCUGCAAAUGAACAUGGGCCUGGAAAUCGGGGUGUGGGUUACAGAGAGCACGGGGAAUUCUGCUCGUGAAGUAACACGGAGCACGAACAUAAGCAGGUACCGCACAUCUGCGAGCUAUUCGGGUCUCCGGGGGAAGGCAAAAAGCCCCAACAAGCCUUAAGUAAGACCAGGACGCUUCUAUAGUUUUGCUUUGACAGCUAAGGAAAAAAUCUGCCAAAAACCAGAGGCGCUGCUGAGUGUUGGCGUGGGAAUGCUAGUUUAGUCAGAGCCUUGCUCUGGGCCAUUUAAAUAAAAACAGACAUGUUGGUGGCAAAUGCCAGUUGAACACGCAGGAGAGCGGUGCUUCUCGGGCCCGGAGAAGGGUUUGCAGCUGCACUCUCUCUUCCCUUUUCUCUUGGCCUCCCCAGCCUUCUUAUCAUCACGAUCAGCAUUUCACUGGUAAACAUUUGGUGCAAUAAUUUUCAAAAAUCAGCAAGAAAAGUCUGAGCGUUUCAUGUGGCUGUGACUGCGUGGCCCCAGCUGGAAGCAUGGAUUCCCAGCGCCUCCCAGAGCCUGUCUCCGAGGGAUACUCUAAUCACUUGAGGGCCUUUGCACGACAUAAAUCAGACCGACUAUCUCUAGAGUGGAGAGGGGGAUAAACUCACUUGUAGCAAGUGAAGGCCAGAGGCUGCCCUGGGAUGGCAUUGCCUGUUCCCAGGGGCUUGUGGUGGUGCAGCAGACAUGGGGACCCCUGGGCCCCUUCCCCUCCUUGCUGGGGAUGCCACACAGACCCACGUUCAGGGACCUGAAUUCAGAGCCUGCCCCAGGGGUGGCGAAUGUAUCUGGGACACUGAGGACCCCCCUACCGGGUGCAUCUCAUGGCCUUUUGGUCUUUUUUUUUGAGACGGAGUCUCACUUUGUUGCCCAGGCUGGAGUGUCAUGGGGCGAUCUCCGCUCACUACCACCUCCGCCUCCCGGGUUCAAGCAAUUCUCCUGUCUCAGCCUCCGAGUAGCUGGGAUUACAGGUAUGUGCCACCACGCCAGCUAAUUUUUCUAUUUUUAAUAGAGAUAGGGUUUCACCAUGUUGGUCAGGCUGGUCUUGAACUCCUAACCUCGGGUGAUCUGCCUGCCUUGGCCUCCCGAAGUGUUGGGAUUACAGGCGUGAGCCACUGCACCUGGCCAGCCUUUUGGUCUUGAAGGGUCUCUGGGAGGGCCUCAGAGAAUGUCUUGGUUUCCUCACUCUUGGGUUCCCAUCGACUGAGGUCAGGGCUGGGAAGGGGUGAUGAGCCCAGGACUCUUCUGGCGAGAGCGAGGGUCUAUGUUGGGGGGCUCCCUUCUGCCACCUCUCCUUGGUGACAUGGGGCUGGCUGGAGAGUCCCUCCGUGCCUGGGAGUUCCUCAGUGUAGGGGGGGAAGGGGGCCACUGCAAUGAAUCUGACACCAGCCCCCUCUCUCUCCGCCCUGCUGGCAGCCCUCACUCAUAUGGGGGGCGGGUCUGUCCUCCUUUCCCCAAAGCUGGGGGUCCUGAGUGUGGUUGGGGUAACGUCUGGUCCUCCUUAGAACAGUGGGGCUUGGAAUUCAUUCAAGGGAAGAAGAGUGAAGGAACGCAGAUGCCGACUGCAUGGAGCCCCCCCGGGCUGCAGCCCCUAGAGCCUGGGCGCUCUGUGAGCCAGAAAGAGAACGGCUGGGGAGAGGGCUGUGUGAGGCCCUGUUCUUCCAAGACCGCUGCGGAGGACCGACGGGGCCCAGGGACCCUGACUGAGGUGUGCCGAGCACAGCAGCUCUGGACAGGCCGCACCGGCCUCUCUGUCUGUCAUCUGUCCACCUGUUGGUGGGCAGGAACAGACCUGAUGCUGUAAGAAGAGGCCCCCAGGACCCUGCCUCUCCCAUUGGCUGAGCCUGGACUGUGGAGCCAGCCGCCCUCACACUGGGCACAGAUGACCGACUUAGGUUUUGAGAAGAUCCAAACAGCAGCAGGACGUGCACCUGGUAGGGGUAGGAGGGCCUCCCCUGGACUCAAAAGUGUAUUCGCGGAGCCCCUUCCCUGCAGCGUAGGCUCUGGGGGGACAGUGGCCAGGACGGAGGCCCUCGUGGAAAGGGGGAGAUGUGAACAGUGAGCCUCCUGCAUGCAGGCAUCUGGGAAAGAACAUUCCAGCCAAGUGGCUCUGAGCACACCCCGACCCUGGCCACCCUGGCCCUGUGGACCAACCCUGGGGCCCAGGAUUAAUGACAGCCAGUGCUCGCUGGUGCCUCCAGCCUGGGCCAGGCCUGUGGGCUGGUCCCUUCAAUGAUGGGGCAAGCUCAGCCCCGUCCACACCCUUCUCCUCCUCCUCUGUGCUUCCCUCCACCCCCAGGAGUGGGCUCCAGGUCUGUCACUCGUCACUCAUGGGGGGCUGUGGGUUGACUCGUAUUCCCCCAAAAGACUCGCUGUAUACCCCCAGAGCUUGUGAGCAGGACCUGUUUUGGAGAUGGGUCUUUGCAGAUGUCGUCGAGUUAAGACAAGGCCAUGCUGGAGUGGGGCCUGCCCUAAUCCAACGACUGGGGCCCUUGGCAGGAGAGGGAGGUUUGGGGAGAAGGCGCUGGGAAGACAGGCAGAGGCUGGAGACAGUGCAGCCCCAAGCUGGGAGCACAGGGGUUGCCGGCACCCAACAGAAGCUGGAGGAGGUGGGAAGGAUCCUCCCUAGAGCCUUGGGAGGGGGCCCGGUCCUGUGACACCCAGAUUUUGGAUUUCUGGCCUUCGGAACUGAGAGAGCACACAUUUCUGCGGUUUGAAGCCACCAAAUUUUUGGUAAUUUGUUCUGGCCAGGAAAUUAAUACCAGGGAUAAAGGUGUUUUAAUGCAGACAAAGACAGUUUUUGAAUUAACCAAGCUUUGCGCAAGGCUGCCGGGAUUGACUGGGGGAAGUGAGGGACUCAGCAGCUUCCCCGACGCUCGCCAGGCACCGGCCUCCAUACACGCUUGCUGGCGGUGGCUACGGCAGGUCGCUCUUCAGGUGAAACCACAUAAUGAGCAGCCUUAAGCCUGUCGAUUUACACAGCAGAGGCUGCCUGGCCUGGCGCUCUUCCUGGCUGGAGGACUCUGCCUUCCCCCUCUGCCUGCCUGUGGCCACUCCGGCUGCAGAGGAGACUGGCAGACGACGUUCUCAUCCCUGGUCGGGGCAAAAGUUCUGCUCAAAUAUGACAACGGUGAAACUCGGAAUAGCGACAGAGCCAACCCAUGAUUGAGGCAGGGCUGGAGGCUUUCUGGAAAACGCACGGAGAAACACGAGGGCCCAGCUGUGCCCUGGGCCGCCCCAUGAGUCCAGCCUUCUUCGUCCUAGUCCCUUCUCCAAAGAAAGGACAAAACCACUGAAAGGGUUCGUCUGGGUCACAAACGUCCCAAAUUGGCUUCCGCGUGGAAACUAAACAAGGGUAGGUCCCAGCCCCUGGGAUUCAGGUGAAACCCGAGGCCUGUCUGAGGUCACAGCGUCUUCCCGAGGACGUCAGCCCUGUUGGCUGUGUCUGGGGCCAGGCUGAGGCAUAGCGGGCCAGGAGGCCGAGCUUCCCAAAGGAGCUGCACUGUCUUUUCCUUAGAAUAUGAAAUCAAUGUCUGCCACCUUGAAUCCUCAUGGACAAGACUCCUUGGAAGCCAGCCUGUGUCAGGGCCAGCGUCCCCCAGGGCUGACACCUACACCCUCGCAUUCUCAGCGUGACUCGGGACAGUGGCAGAACCCGCUGGGUUCUCUCUACGGGAGUGCUUUUUUUUUUUCUUUUCUUUUUUUUUUUUUUUUUUUUUUUUGAGUCGGAGUUUCACUCUUGUUGCCCAGGCUGGAGUACAAUGGUGUGAUCUCGGCUCACUGCAACCUCCACCUCCUGGGUUCAAGCAGUUCUCCUGUCUCAGCCUCCCGAGUAGCUGGGAUUACAGGUGCACACCACCAUGCCUGGCUAAUUUUUGUAUUUUUAGUAGAGAUGAGGUUUCACGGUGUUGGCCAAGCUGGUCUCGAACUCCUGACCUCAAGUGAUCCACCUGCCUUGGCCUCCCGAAGUGCUGGGAUUUCUGGCGUGAGCCACCGCACCCAGCUCGGAGUGCGUUAUGACUAGAGGCAAAGACAGCAGCAUGAUCUUCAGCUUGCAAAUGAGACACAGAAUGACAAUGAAUCUUCACCGAAGUUAACUUGAACCUGGAUGGAUGAGUGGCCGGGUCGCCAAAAAGCUCCUCGGACCCUGCCAGAGUGUGAGCUCUGCCAGGAGGGCCGGGGCUCCAGGAUCCCAGGCUGGGCAGUCACUGGCUCCCCCAGGAAGGGCCACAUUCCGGUGGGCAGACAGAGGGUUGGGGAGGGUGGUGGGCAGCCAGCCGCCUGGAUCCCGGCCGGGGCACCGUCCCGCAGAGCUUGUCCCGCACAGACUCAGUUUCCUAACCCAGCAAGUGGGAGUCCACUGUGAGAAGUCCAGCCCUACGCAGAUGCGUGCGAAUCCCCUAAGAGCCAUGCCUGAGCCCUUGGCGGAAGCAGUUGGCUCCUCGUGUCAUGCAAAGGGCGGCAUUUUCAUUCCUAACAGGGAGGUGGCCCCGGAGCAUCCAGUUCAAAGGAGCUAGGAUGAUCCAGGGUCCUCUCACGUGGGCCUUGGUGAGUGGCCACACCCUCUGAGACCCCCUUUCAUCCCCAUAGAAAGGUCCUAGCAGGGCUGUGCCAGGGGGAUCCGCGGGUGGCAGGGUGGCCCCAUCUGCAGUGGGCCCAGGAGGAUAGCAACAGGACUUAGCAGUGGUGGGAUUGUAUUUCUGGGCCCUUCUUCCCCCACAGCCCACAGCCUCCUGACGGGACCCCUCCCCCCAGAACCUGAAGGACGGACCUCAGGUGUGGAGCUCCCUCACCAGACAGAGGGGAGGAGCCCAGGUCCAUCUCCUCAAAGGGACCCACCAGCCCCUCACGCGGCUGCACACAAGGCAGUCCCAGCCAGGCCCCAGGUUGAGGCAGACUCAGCCUAUGUCCUCAAGAGGCUCCCUGGAGAAGGCAGGACCCAGAAGCUUCUCUCUCGGCUGACAUGGCCUUUGCGGGCAGCCUUCCCACCCACAUCCCCAGCAUGAGCCCCAGCUCCUUGGAGCCCAGAGUCCAAGAAAUGGCCUUUCUGCCACUGACCCCUCCCGUGGAAUGGCUCCUCCCGAGCAGGGAACCUCUGCUGGGACCCGUCAGCUGCAAGAAGGCCCGUCCCCGAGAGAGCCCUGCAGGGCAAGGGGAGAGGGACCCCGGGGUAGGGGUGGAGAGCAGCUGAGGGGACAGACACAGAGAAGACCAGGCAGGGGCAUAGCCUGCUGAUGGGGGAUGCCAUCCUCUCGGUCACAGCUGAGCCAGGGCAGCCUCUAAGCUUCCUAAGUGGGGAAACCAAGGCAGAGAACCCCAGGACUGGGGCCACCGCUGUGGUCAGCCGGUUGGGGGUGGCCUGGGCCUCUCCAGUCUCCACUCUUCCAUCCAGCUUCAUGGGGAGCAACAUUUUUUUCACCUCAAGGCCAAAUUAGGAAGAACAAACAUGUUUUAUUUAUCAGUGUCACUUUUUUUUUUUUUUGUUUUAGAGACAGGGGUCUCACUAUGUUGCCCAGGUUGGACUUGAAUUCCUGGGCUCAAACAAUCCUCCUGCCUCAGCCUCCCAAGUUACUAGGACUACAGGUGCACCACUUAGUUACAUUUUUUUUAUACACGUGAAAACAGCUUUUUUGCUGGGCGCAGUGGCUCACGCCUGUAAUCCUAGCCCUUGGGGAGGCCGAGGCAGGUGGAUCACCUGAGGUCAGGAGUUCGAGACCAGCCUGGCCAACAUGGUGAAACCCCGUCUCUACUAAAAAUACAAAAAUUAGCUGGGUGUGAUGAUGGGAGCCUGUAGUCCCAUCUACUCAGGAGGCUGAGGCAGGAGAGUGGCAUGAACCAGGGAGGCGGAGGUGGCAGUGAGCCGAGAUCGCGCCAUUGCACUCCAGCCUGGGUGACAGAGUGAAACUCCAUCUCAAAAAAAAAAAAAAAAAAGAAAAGAAAAAGAAAGUAGUUUUUUUUCCCCCUAUGCUAAAAAUUCAAACAAAGCAAACAAGCAAAUUUUUAGAGAAGAAAAUUCCAUUGGCCACAAUCUGUAGCAGGGAGAGCUGUUUUUUUUGUUUUGUUUUUGUUUUUUUUUUGAGGCAGAGUCUUGCUCUGUCACCCAGACUGGAAUGCAGUGGUGCAAU
Molecule: long non-coding RNA, 10268 nt
Filed under: Homo sapiens (human)
Lineage: Eukaryota; Metazoa; Chordata; Mammalia; Primates; Hominidae
Description: non-protein coding NALT1:12
Source: RNAcentral